Molecule: non-coding RNA, 254 nt
Organism: Paramuricea clavata
Lineage: Eukaryota; Metazoa; Cnidaria; Anthozoa; Malacalcyonacea; Plexauridae
Source: the annotation of a GenBank genome assembly
GUGUUGGCCGUGUUAUCGCGGCCAAAAGUGGAAAAACACGGCUAGAUAAAAUGAACGCGGCUUCAUUAUUUAUAUAAGGCCGUGUAGGUUCUAAAAUAAGGUGGUGCUACUUACAACAGACAGCAUUUCUUUAUAUUUACGUCGUAAGAAAGUUUGUAAAAUCUACUGUUAAUUGUUGUUGAAAUUGGCAAAAGUGAUCCGUGAUGUUUUACUGUUUUGAUGGAUAAUGGGAACUGUAUGGUGUUAAAAUGGUU